RNAcentral lists this unclassified non-coding RNA (374 nucleotides) under Galium karataviense. Its description in RNAcentral is "partial external transcribed spacer". Lineage: Eukaryota; Viridiplantae; Streptophyta; Magnoliopsida; Gentianales; Rubiaceae. The record is from RNAcentral.
GUCGGUCAGGCCCGUGCAGCGACGACUGUUCACGCGUUCCUCUUCAGAGGUAGGCACAAGCGCGCUCUUGCCUUGGCCGAAAGUUGGAUUUCCUGUGUUGGAUACCUAAGUGACGGCAUUUUUUUGUGGGAAAAGGAACGGUCGCCCCAUGCCUGUGUGGCUGCGGGCGAUCCAGGAAGGGAGAUUCGCGAUCCUCGAUGCACUCGCGGUGUCGAGGCCCGCGCUUCUUCGCUCGGACUGAGGGAUUCGGAAUAUGCCGUGGUCGACGGGCCUUGCUCGCUCGACGCACCGAUCGAAAGUAUCCGAACGAACGACGCUCGACGGCGCGCUGGCCCCCGGGCCACGCGCCUCGGCGUCCGCGAGGAAUGCUACCU